UUUUGGGCACCACAGGGAUCUUUUAGCUUAGGUACGAGGAGCAUUGCUGCAGAGCAAAUGGGGAAGCCAAAAAACACGAGUGAGGGAGAGAGAAGCAAACAGCUUCACCAUGAAAAUUAUUUGACAGGUAAUAACCAUACAAGGGGAGCUAAACAAAACAGAUUUAAAUAUUAUAACUUAAAUUUGAUUAUAAAAGUCAGGUUUACAAAACUAUAACUGAUCACACAAGUCGGGGUCAGAAGGCUAUACUUAGAGCUCAUUGGGUUCUCACCAGUCUGUGAAACUUGAAUCGAUUGGGGGUCCCAGGUGGUGGUGGUGGUGGUGGUAGCUGAGGGUCUGGAGUGCUGGAGCCAGGCAGAGCCAGCACAAUCAGUCAGAAGAUGAUGAUCCAACAGAACUGAUGCAGAUGUUGGAUCCAGGCAUCAGAACACCUACAUGAGCGUGGGUAGGGGUUUUUGUAGGGAAAGAACAAUGGUUCAAGGGAGAACACUAGAUUUGUUUAUGGGUAAACUGGGGGCUCAAGAGAGUAUACCAAAGUUGUUUUGUUCAGGCUAGACAAUAGGAACUGAUUUUUCCUGACUAUGGGUGGUGGUCCUUCAAGGGAGCUCGCAAUGCAGUUAGGCAGCUUCAGUAUUUUGGAUACCAAUAAAGGAUUUAUUACUAGAAUUGGUCUGAUAACUACUGAGCUGGGUGUGUGUAGGUGUGGGUUCAUUAACAUCAGGAGCAGAGAUUCUCCCAACCCAUCCCCCAUCAUGCAGUGAUUCCCUGCUUUUCAGGUCCUAGGGCUUGGUGUGGUUCUUGCCUUGGAAUCUCUGUUCUCCAUUCUAUAUGCUAAUGGGGAUGCCUCUCUGUCCUAUCUUCAAUGCAAAUGAGGCUAGGGGAGUUCCCUUAAUCCUGUCACCCUUGUCCAGGAGGUUUAGGUGUGUUUUCCACUGCCUUUUCAUUGCUUUUUGUAAGUCUGUCUUCUGAGUGGCUUUGGUUCAAGCAGAGGCCGUGGUGGGGGCUGCUGGGAAGGUCUUUUGUGAGUCAGACAGGCUGGACGCUGUGCCCUGGUUCUCCAAGAACACACAGCUGAAAGGUAACAGUGUAAAGCAAGGGUGCCCAGCCUCUUUCUGGUCCAGCUUUCAGUGUGAGGGAUAGGAGUGCGGUACCCAUCUGCCAAGUCACCUCACACAGCUGCAGUUCUGCUGAGUAACAAUCUUGCAUUUCUGACCACUCCUUUCUGCCAGUUCUCUUCCAUUUGUGUCCUUUCGGUUGCAUUUUUGUGUCUCCUCUAUGAUGCCAUGGUCUGGGGCAUCCAUCGUUGGCUCAUGAGCACAUGCUCCUGUAGCUUAACAGGGCAGAGAUCUUGGAGCUGUUCCUGUGACUGGCUGAACUAAGGAUGGGUGGGGCAGCUAGGAUAGAAGGGUACAUGCCUUUCAAGAAGUCACUUCCUGGUUUUGCCCACAACUGCAAAAGCAUUAUUCCAUUAGCAAGGGCAGGUCCAGCAUCCCUGCAGCUUUCUUCGCCCUUUCCUAUUCAUCUCUUCUCUGUCAUCCCAUGAUGGAAAACAAUACUGCAAAGGCACCUGCCUGCAACUUCGCUGACCUUAAACCUUUAGUUAGUUAGGCUAUGGCCCCCAGUCCUUGCAAUCUUGCUACCUGCUAUUGGCAGGGAGGACAUAUGGCCUCUGUACUGCCCACCCAACUGGGAAGGCAGCCUCAACCCCCCACUUACCACUGAAACUACUCUUCUGUGAAAGUGCAUUUAUAUCUUAUGUAUGGUAUUAAAGCCUAAUGUGGGUACUCACCAUUGCCUAUCUAAACUAGCUCCUGCCCAAGUUGUUAUAUAUUAGUGGGUUUGGAAACUACCAGUUAAUUUCCAUGCUACUGGUGGAGACUAUCUGUUAAGGGUCUAUUUGUUGCUUAGGGAAAACUAAAUUUAAAAUGUAUUCUUCUAGACCUGAUCUAGUAAAGUGAGGCAAGGUGGCUCUAGCAUGUUCACUCCAAUCUCCAAACUUACUUUGUGAAGGGUACUGGAGGGUAAAGAUGUGCCUAUGCUUACACUGCAGUUACAAGUGUAAUUGCAGCUGCUAGCUUUGAUCUAGCUUGCCUGCUAAAAUUGGCUGUGAAAAGGUGGCAGCAUAACGGAAGUUCUGUAUGGUCUGCCUGGGCCCUUUUGAGUAUGUAGUCAUGUUGCUAGUACACACUGAAGCCCACAUCAUUGUGUCUUCACUGUUUGUUUGCCAUGCUAGCUAGAUUAAAGCUAGCGAGGGUAUGUCUACCCAGACUGCAAAUCAUACAAUGUAGAUGUAGCCUAUACAUAAUAAAAUAUUGUAAUCCUCUAAACAAACACAACUGAUUUUGCUUACCUUGUGCUGAAUGCUUCACGUGUUGCACAGAGCAUAAUUCACAUCCAUUAUUCUCCCAUUACCAGCAGUUAGCAAGCACAGGACAUGACAAAGGAGUGAAAGAGAUCAGUGAGGAAAAGUGUGUGUGAAGGGGAGGUAGGGACUACACCAGGGAGACAGGACUGUGAAAAGGAGAGCAAGGGUUCAGUUUGAGCAAGCAGAAAGCCUGCCAUAAUGGAGCUACGGGGCAGAUUGCUCUAGAUUUUGAAGGGAGAAGGCAAUGGAUGGAUACUGUGGUUAUUAGUCAAAGUGAACACAAGAGGGCUCCAAUAACACAUUUUGACUGAGGAAAAUGGAGCUCAGUCUGAAACUUUCCUGAAUGCCCCAUCAAUAUUCUUCUGCUCUUAGCAUUUUAUUCCUUUCUCUAGCUGUAGAGAACUAUUCUACAUACUUGGAAGUACCUAAAAAUAUCAUUAAGCUCAGUAUAGAUUAUAAUUACUGCAAAUUUGAUCACAUUUUUUCUAUGAUGUUAGGGCUACUUCAUGCACAUCCCAUCAGUGGCAGUACUUGUACCAAAACCUACAUCACCGUGGCCAGGGUAUGAUGCUAUAAGUGAUUUAUAGAACACAAUCUUCUUCUAGCUUUGAUCUGUGAAGAAAUCAAACCUUGCCUGCAAAUGAUUUAAAAGUGAGCAAGCAAAAUACAGGGAGAAAUCGGUAUGUAGAAGUAGAGAUACCUGUCUUGUAACUAGGGUACCAAAUAGCAAAUGUGAAAAAUCAGGACAGGGGAUAGGGGGGUGAAUAGGCGCCUAUAAAAGACAAAGCCCCGAAUAUUGGGACUGACCCUAUAAAAUUGGGACAUCUGGUCACCCUUGUAAUCAAGAGGAAAAAGUGAUCAAUAUAGGAACAAAACGUAAUUAGUAAGUAGCUCCUUCUGUUGAAAUUAGAUCGAUUUUUUUUUUUAAAUGAGGUUUAGUAUAAAGUAGACUCUCUCUCUCAUCUUUCCCCUCCUCCCCCCAAAAAACCCUGCACAGGCCUCAUACAAAAGCAUGUGGGGUGUGAUUCAUCAUCCUGAACUCUUUAGUCUACUAUGAGCUAUUUAUCCUAACUAUUCCAUAGUUGUGUACCUUUGAGAGAAUCUGAACCUAGAUGGUUUGAAGUCAGCCUAUAGCUACCAUUGGCUAGAAUUAAUAUAAUAGGCAAAUGUUCCGCCACAUUUGUUGUGGAUGAAGUAGAUUUAUCCAGGGCCUUUGCUCGCCAGGGCUAGGGCUUGCUGCUUCUCAAAAGGGAACAAGAAUGUUCUAUUUUGUCCACUUAUUUCCUGCUAUCUUUUUACAUAACAGCUGCUCUUCAUUUCCUUUCAGCUGUGACCUGGCAUGGAUUCAUCCAUUAUGUUGGAAAUGUACAAAAAUAUAGUUUCCCAGCUAAUUAUCAAAUAUGUAUAUCUUUGCUUACAAUGGCCAUGAUUAUGCCAUGAGCUCUGAAUCCAUGUGAAACCUCCUAAAGUUAAUAGACCCCUGUAUGAAGCUUGUAAGGAAUGGAACCCCCUGUGUCCAGAUCUUCUGACCUUCCACCAUGACAAAAUCAGUGCCUUAUGACAGCACCUAGGCUGUCAGUAAUAAACCAUGCAAUCUGGUAGCAUUAUCAAACUCAUUAGAGUCCCAGCCCUGGACACCAGAGGCCAUCUUAUGCCAUCAAUUGUGUAUGCACAACUCCCCCUGAAAUUGUUGCAGUGCCAAGCAAGACACUGACUUCCAUUGUGAAUGUGACUGUUGACAUGUGCAAAGGUGAAAUUACAGGUUUUUUUCCCCUCUGUGUAAUGGUGAUAACCAUCAGUAGUUUGUUUAGGAAGCUUGUAGGUGACAUUCAGUUAGAUGAUUUAUUGCAAGAUUAUGCACACCCACAAGUAAACAGUUAUCUCCAGCUUCUAGUUGGCUGUUAGCUAGAGGUUAACACUUGUUUGAUUUUUAAUAUCAUUGACUUAAAUGGGUACAUAUCUUGGCAUGAUUACUGUAUCUGCAAAUACCUCUGAACCUCUGUUGCCAAAUUAUUACCUCCAUAAACCUGCUAGAUCAGCCCUCAAGAAUAACUAAUUAGGAAAGCUGGUGCCAGGCACUGAACAUGUGAUACGUACCUGUUGGUUGUGUUUUCCUUUUCUCCCUGCUCCCUUUCUUAUGCAAUAUUUGCAUAAAUUCAGAUACUGUGAACCAAUGUACCUGAGCUCCUAUGCCUAAACUAAUUUAGGUCUUUGUUUAAAAAAAAAAUAAAAUUAUUGAUACAUGAUUGUCACACAAAAAUAGAUACUAUGGUGAUGGACAGCAGACUAAAACACUAGGGUAGAUUGGAUGUGAGUACAUGAAAGAGUAUGUUUUUUGUGACCACAGCUUAGAAUGUUCAGUUUUUAAUACUUAAUCCAUUAAAGAAACAGGAAGACUGA
Molecule: long non-coding RNA, 4765 nt
Organism: Chelonia mydas (Green sea turtle)
Lineage: Eukaryota; Metazoa; Chordata; Testudines; Cheloniidae
Exons: 2
Source: RefSeq, a predicted model, not a curated record